This 433-nucleotide ribosomal RNA is filed under the name uncultured bacterium. Its description in RNAcentral is "partial 16S ribosomal RNA". It matches the Rfam family "Bacterial small subunit ribosomal RNA", at positions 29 to 507 of the family's 1533-position model. The record is from RNAcentral.
AGCGAACGCUGGCGGCAGGCCUAACACAUGCGAGUCGAACGAACUCUUCGGAGUUAGUUGCGGACGGGUGAGUAACACGUGGGAACGUGCCUUUUGGUUCGGAAUAACUCAGGGAAACUUGUGCUAAUACCGAAUGUGCCCUUCGGGGGAAAGAUUUAUCGCCAUUAGAGCGGCCCGCGUCUGAUUAGCUAGUUGGUGAGGUAACGGCUCACCAAGGCGACGAUCAGUAGCUGGUCUGAGAGGAUGACCAGCCACACUGGGACUGAGACACGGCCCAGACUCCUACGGGAGGCAGCAGUGGGGAAUCUUGCGCAAUGGGCGAAAGCCUGACGCAGCCAUGCCGCGUGAAUGAUGAAGGUCUUAGGAUUGUAAAAUUCUUUCACCGGGGACGAUAAUGACGGUACCCGGAGAAGAAGCCCCGGCUAACUUCGUG